UGAANUUAAAGGCUGUGGCUUAACCAUAGUACGCUUUGGAAACUGUUUAACUNGAGUGCAGAAGGGGAGAGUGGAAUUCCAUGUGUAGCGGUGAAAUGCGUAGAUAUAUGGAGGAACACCGGUGGCGAAAGCGGCUCUCUGGUCUGUAACUGACGCUGAGGCUCGAAAGCGUGGGGAGCGAACAGGAUUAGAUACCCUGGUAGUNCACGCCGUAAACGAUGAGUGCUAGGUGUUAGGCCCUUUCCGGGGCUUAGUGCCGCAGCUAACGCAUUAAGCACUCCGCCUGGGGAGUACGACCGCAAGGUUGAAACUCAAAGGAAUUGACGGGGGCCCGCACAAGCGGUGGAGCAUGUGGUUUAAUUCGAAGCAACGCGAAGAACCUUACCAGGUCUUGACAUCCCGAUGCCCGCUCUAGAGAUAGAGUUUUACUUCGGUACAUCGGUGACAGGUGGUGCAUGGUUGUCGUCAGCUCGUGUCGUGAGAUGUUGGGUUAAGUCCCGCAACGAGCGCAACCCUUAUUGUUAGUUGCCAUCAUUCAGUUGGGCACUCUAGCGAGACUGCCGGUAAUAAACCGGAGGAAGGUGGGGAUGACGUCAAAUCAUCAUGCCCCUUAUGACCUGGGCUACACACGUGCUACAAUGGCUGGUACAACGAGUCGCAAGUCGGUGACGGCAAGCUAAUCUCUUAAAGCCAGUCUCAGUUCGGAUUGUAGGCUGCAACUCGCCUACAUGAAGUCGGAAUCGCUAGUAAUCGCGGAUCAGCACGCCGCGGUGAAUACGUUCCCGGGCCUUGUACACACCGCCCGUCACACCACGAGAGUUUGUAACACCCGAAGUCGGUGAGGUAACCUUUUAGGAGC
Molecule: ribosomal RNA, 859 nt
Filed under: uncultured bacterium
Lineage: Bacteria
Description: bacterial SSU rRNA
Rfam family: Bacterial small subunit ribosomal RNA
Source: RNAcentral